ACCAUAGCUCAGUGGUAGAGUUCUUGCUUAGCACACAUGAGGUCUCAGGUUCAAAUCCCAGCACUGUAA
RNAcentral lists this transfer RNA (69 nucleotides) under Mus musculus (house mouse). RNAcentral describes it as "tRNA-Ala". Lineage: Eukaryota; Metazoa; Chordata; Mammalia; Rodentia; Muridae. The record is from RNAcentral.